GACGAACGCUGGCGGCGUGCUUAACACAUGCAAGUCGAGCGGUAAGGCCCUUUCGGGGGUACACGAGCGGCGAACGGGUGAGUAACACGUGGGUGACCUGCCCUCAGCUCUGGGAUAAGCCUGGGAAACCGGGUCUAAUACUGGAUAUGACUCCAUGACGCAUGUUGUGGGGUGGAAAGCCUUGUGCGACUGAGGAUGGGCCCGCGGCCUAUCAGCUUGUUGGUGGGGUGANGGCCUACCAAGGCGACGACGGGUAGCCGGCCUGAGAGGGCGACCGGCCACACUGGGACUGAGACACGGCCCAGACUCCUACGGGAGGCAGCAGUGGGGAAUCUUGCGCAAUGGGCGAAAGCCUGACGCAGCGACGCCGCGUGAGGGAUGACGGCCUCGGU
Molecule: ribosomal RNA, 392 nt
Filed under: uncultured bacterium
Lineage: Bacteria
Description: bacterial SSU rRNA
Rfam family: Bacterial small subunit ribosomal RNA
Source: RNAcentral